GAGUAGCCACGUAACAGGAAAGUGCUGGUCAGCUGUAGAACUUCCUGAUGGCUCCAGGUAUAUGCAAUUUUUUUUUUUCUUUUUUGCCAAUACAGGACCACUUUUUGCCUGUUAUCUGUCUUUGUUUUAAUUAUACAGGUAACAUCAAUUUAGAGAUAAGCAAGGGAGACAGCUUGUCAAAUUCCUUUAACUUUGUAAACACGCCAACAAGGCAAAAAAGAAUGACACGGUGAGGGAUCCGUGAAGCAAAAGCCAAUUUCCCAUUCUUGGGGUGGGCCUUCUCUUCUGGGA
RNAcentral lists this long non-coding RNA (291 nucleotides) under Theobroma cacao (cacao). RNAcentral describes it as "long non-coding RNA (TCAC_LNC004212)". The record is from RNAcentral. Lineage: Eukaryota; Viridiplantae; Streptophyta; Magnoliopsida; Malvales; Malvaceae.